RNAcentral lists this ribosomal RNA (254 nucleotides) under uncultured bacterium. RNAcentral's name for it is "partial 16S ribosomal RNA". It matches the Rfam family "Bacterial small subunit ribosomal RNA", at positions 524 to 776 of the family's 1533-position model. The record is from RNAcentral.
UACGAAGGGGGCUAGCGUUGCUCGGAAUCACUGGGCGUAAAGCGCACGUAGGCGGGUCGUUAAGUCGGGGGUGAAAUCCUGGAGCUCAACUCCAGAACUGCCUUCGAUACUGGCGAUCUUGGAGUCCGGGAGAGGUGGGUGGAACUGCGAGUGUAGAGGUGAAAUUCGUAGAUAUUCGCAAGAACACCAGUGGCGAAGGCGGCUCACUGGCCCGGUACUGACGCUGAGGUGCGAAAGCCAGGGGAGCGAAUGGG